RNAcentral lists this ribosomal RNA (436 nucleotides) under uncultured Anaerolineaceae bacterium. Its description in RNAcentral is "bacterial SSU rRNA". It matches the Rfam family "Bacterial small subunit ribosomal RNA", at positions 342 to 795 of the family's 1533-position model. Lineage: Bacteria; Bacillati; Chloroflexota; Anaerolineae; Anaerolineales; Anaerolineaceae. The record is from RNAcentral.
CGGGGGGCUGCAGUAGGGAAUAUUGGUAAUGUGCGAAAGCGCGAACCAGCAACGCCGCGUGUGCGAUGAAGGCCUUCGGGUUGUAAAGCACUUUUCGGGAGGAAGAGGAAGGACUGUACUCCCGGAAUAAGUCUCGGCUAACUACGUGCCAGCAGCCGCGGUAAUACGUAGGAGGCAAACGUUAUCCGGAUUUACUGGGCGUAAAGCGCGUGCAGGCUGUUUGGUAAGUUGGGCGUGAAAGCUCCCGGCUCAACUGGGAGAGGUCGUUCAAUACUGCCAGACUAGAGGAUGGUAGAGGGAGGUGGAAUUCCGGGUGUAGUGGUGAAAUGCGCAGAUAUCCGGAGGAACACCAGUGGCGAAAGCGGCCUCCUGGACCAUUCCUGACGCUCAGACGCGAAAGCUAGGGUAGCAAACGGGAUUAGAUACCCCGGUAGUC